RNAcentral lists this ribosomal RNA (1619 nucleotides) under Gammaproteobacteria bacterium. RNAcentral's name for it is "partial 23S ribosomal RNA". It matches the Rfam family "Bacterial large subunit ribosomal RNA", at positions 1332 to 2925 of the family's 2925-position model. The record is from RNAcentral. Lineage: Bacteria; Pseudomonadati; Pseudomonadota; Gammaproteobacteria.
GCACGCCGAAAGCCCAAGGUUUCCUGCGCAACGCUAAUCGGCGCAGGGUGAGUCGGCUCCUAAGGCGAGGCCGAAAGGCGUAGUCGAUGGACAACAGGUUAAUAUUCCUGUACCUGUUUUAAUUGCGAUGGGGUGACGAAGAAGGCUAGGUCAGCCGGGUGUUGGACGUCCCGGUUUAAGCGUGUAGGGAGUGUGCUUUGGCAAAUCCGGGCACACAAUCCUGAGGCGUGAUGACGAUUUUACCACUUCGGUGGUGAGAGAAGUGAUUGAUGCCAUGCUUCCUGGAAAAACCUCUAAGCUUCAGAUUAUGACAGACCGUACCCCAAACCGACACAGGUGGGCGAGGAGAGAAUCCUAAGGCGCUUGAGAGAACUCGGGUGAAGGAACUCGGCAAAAUAGCACCGUAACUUCGGGAGAAGGUGUGCCCCCGGUAUGUGAAGGCCUUGCGGCCGGAGCAGAAAGGGGUUGCAGUGACCAGGUGGCUGCGACUGUUUACUAAAAACACAGCACUCUGCAAACUCGUAAGAGGACGUAUAGGGUGUGACGCCUGCCCGGUGCCGGAAGGUUAAUUGAUGGGGUUAGCUUCGGCGAAGCUCUUGAUCGAAGCCCCGGUAAACGGCGGCCGUAACUAUAACGGUCCUAAGGUAGCGAAAUUCCUUGUCGGGUAAGUUCCGACCUGCACGAAUGGCGUAACGAUGGCCACACUGUCUCCACCCGAGACUCAGCGAAAUUGAACUCGCUGUUAAGAUGCAGUGUACCCGCGGCUAGACGGAAAGACCCCGUGAACCUUUACUACAGCUUUGCACUGGACUCUGAACAUACUUGUGUAGGAUAGCUGGGAGGCUUUGAAGCGGCGACGCCAGUUGCCGUGGAGCCAACCUUGAAAUACCAGCCUGGUGUGUUUGGGGUUCUAACCCAGGUCCGUUAUCCGGAUCGGGGACAGUGUAUGGUGGGUAGUUUGACUGGGGCGGUCUCCUCCCAAAGAGUAACGGAGGAGCACGAAGGUACCCUCAGCACGGUCGGAAAUCGUGCUACGAGCGCAAAGGUAAAAGGGUGCUUGACUGCGAGACAGACACGUCGAGCAGGUGCGAAAGCAGGUCUUAGUGAUCCGGUGGUUCUGUAUGGAAGGGCCAUCGCUCAACGGAUAAAAGGUACUCCGGGGAUAACAGGCUGAUACCGCCCAAGAGUUCACAUCGACGGCGGUGUUUGGCACCUCGAUGUCGGCUCAUCUCAUCCUGGGGCUGAAGCAGGUCCCAAGGGUAUGGCUGUUCGCCAUUUAAAGAGGUACGCGAGCUGGGUUUAGAACGUCGUGAGACAGUUCGGUCCCUAUCUGCCGUGGGCGUUGGAGAAUUGAGAGGAGCUGCUCCUAGUACGAGAGGACCGGAGUGGACGUACCUCUGGUGUUCCGGUUGUCACGCCAGUGGCAUUGCCGGGUAGCUAUGUACGGACGGGAUAACCGCUGAAAGCAUCUAAGCGGGAAGCCCCCCUCAAGAUGAGUUCUCCCCUGAGCUUUAUGCUCACUGAAGGGCCCUCGUAGACUACGAGGUUGAUAGGCUGGGUGUGGAAGUGCAGUAAUGUAUGAAGCUAACCAGUACUAAUUGCCCGUGCGGCUUGACCAU